GGUACCUAUACGCACGACGUUCAGGGAGACCACUACUUGCGGGGUUCCUUUUUAUCUUCAAGGCUCAAAGUACAGAGGGAGGACUCGGAGGCGUCGGUUAACGUCUGGUGUUCUCUCGGUCGCUGUGGCAAGAUUCCCACCCGUUGGUGGGAAGUAGGAGGGAGUUUGCUGACGAAAGCUGCGGAAUUCUACCUCAGCGCCUCAGGUGAAAUGAAGGGGGAACUGGAGGGGCGGGGGAGCGCGGGGAGCCCGAGUGCAGAGCCCAGAACUUUGCGUUUGUGGAAGGGGAGGCGUCCUGUGAGGCGGAGAAUUGAUCCCUGUGCACCGGGAGGGGUGAAGAGCAUUAACUCACCCUCUCUCCAAGAAUGGGAGCGCGGGACCUUAUCUCCUGGCUUCCUGUCCUGCCUCUGGAUGCCGGCUAUGCAAUUAUCUGUGUCAGAGAUGGCCAAUGGCUCUCCAGGAUCCGGACCCCGCCUCCUUCCCUUUCAACUGCAGGACCCAGAGGAGCUGAAAAAUGCUCAGAGCUUCAGCAGAAUGACAUGGUGACUGAAAGGAGGCUAAGAGAACAUGGCAAAGUUCAGAGCCCAGCUCACAGAAGACACCCCAUAAAAAGUUAUUAAGAAAUCAGUGGAGAAGGUCCCAUCCCCAUCACUAUUUAUUGGGGUAAGAAGGCUGGAGAGCAACAACUACUCUAGCAAAACUACUUGCUGUUGCUGUCUCAAAAAAAUGAAAGUGAAGAAAUAAUGAGAAAAUGCUGAACUCUAAUAAAUCAUCUUCCCAUCUCCUUCCCACCCUGGAGUAGAGGGCCACCAAGCAAGGAGUCAAAGCUUCACCAGACUGCCAAAGGAAUCUAUAGCACAAAAGUCCAAGAACCUCUGCUCCAACAUCAUUGUCAUCACAGAUAAGAACAAGAAAGAGGAACAAGUGGAACCUGUGUUUGCAUCCUGAUGUUCUUGUCUGUGAAGAAAGCAGAGAUAUUGGAUAACUUUAAAUUUUCUUACGAUG
This is a non-coding RNA of Vicugna pacos (alpaca), 1005 nucleotides long. The record is from RefSeq and is a predicted model, not a curated record. NCBI's taxonomy places the organism in Eukaryota, Metazoa, Chordata, Mammalia, Artiodactyla, Camelidae.